CGCGAAGAACCUUACCUGGUCUUGACAUCCACAGAACAUUCCAGAGAUGGGAUGGUGCCUUCGGGAACUGUGAGACAGGUGCUGCAUGGCUGUCGUCAGCACGUGUUGUGAAAUGUUGGGUUAAGUCCCGCAACGAGCGCAACCCUUAUCCUUUGUUGCCAGCGGUCCGGCCGGGAACUCAAAGGAGACUGCCAGUGAUAAACUGGAGGAAGGUGGGGAUGACGUCAAGUCAUCAUGGCCCUUACGACCAGGGCUACACACGUGCUACAAUGGCGCAUACAAAGAGAAGCGACCUCGCGAGAGCAAGCGGACCUCAUAAAGUGCGUCGUAGUCCGGAUUGGAGUCUGCAACUCGACUCCAUGAAGUCGGAAUCGCUAGUAAUCGUGGAUCAGAAUGCCACGGUGAAUACGUUCCCGGGUCUUGUACACACC
This 431-nucleotide ribosomal RNA is filed under the name uncultured bacterium. RNAcentral describes it as "bacterial SSU rRNA". It matches the Rfam family "Bacterial small subunit ribosomal RNA", at positions 960 to 1391 of the family's 1533-position model. The record is from RNAcentral.